Jaculus jaculus (lesser Egyptian jerboa) is the source of this 107-nucleotide small nuclear RNA. NCBI's taxonomy places the organism in Eukaryota, Metazoa, Chordata, Mammalia, Rodentia, Dipodidae. The record is from Ensembl.
GUGCUCGCUUCAGCAGCACAUACACUAAACUUGGAAUGAGACAGAGAAGAAUAGCAUGGCCCCUCAUCAAGAAUGACCCCCAAGUUUGUGAAGCGUUUCGUGUUUUC